UUCAGAUCCUCUAUCUACCUCUUUCUGGCCCUCUCUCUCUCUCUCAAAAAUAAAUAAACAUUAAAAAUUUUUUUAAGUUUAAGAUCAUAAAAAACAUGACUGAAGAACUGUCACAGACUGGAAGAGACUAAGAGGAUGUAGCACCUAAAUGCAAUGUGGGACCCUAAAUCGAUCACCACAUUGAUAAAGCACAUCAGUGGGAAAACUGGCAAAAUCCAAAUAAAUUCUGUACUUCAGUCAAUAGUACUAUACUAAUUUUAAUUUCUUAAGUUUUGAUCAAUUUUCUCUGGUUAAGAUAUUAACAUAAGGGGAAAGUGAGUGAAGGGCAUACAGGAACUUUCUAUGCUAUCUUUCAAAUUCUUCAGUUAGUAGCAAAUUAUCUCAAAAUAAAAAGUUAAAAAAAGAAAACUAAGUAGUAAAGGAAUGGUAUCCCUGUUGCCCGAUACUCCCAACCCUACCAUUUCCUUCAAACAAACCUAUAUUUAACAGACCUUUGAUCUUUUCACUAAUUCCAAUUUCCAAGAUUUCUUAUUACUGAGUAUAAAUUCCGUCUACUGUAAGUUUUAUGAAAAUAGGGCCUGUGUCUGCUUUUUCUCCCCAGUAUGACCCUAGCACUUAGCACAGUUCUGACACAUUGUAGAACUGAGUAUUUGUUGAAUGAAUGAACAAAUGAAUGAAUGGCAGCUGUGUGUAUUGUAUUCAUUUCUUAUUUUGGUUUUAAUAAAUUGCCACAAAUUUAGUGGUUUAAAACAACACAAAUUUAUUACCUUCCACUUACGGAGAUCAGAUGUCCAAAAUGAGUCUCACUGGACUGAAAUCAAGAUGUUAGAGAGCUAC
This is a long non-coding RNA of Herpailurus yagouaroundi (jaguarundi), 837 nucleotides long. RefSeq lists it as uncharacterized. The transcript has 3 exons. Lineage: Eukaryota; Metazoa; Chordata; Mammalia; Carnivora; Felidae. The record is from RefSeq and is a predicted model, not a curated record.